CGUCUUGAGUUAGAGAGUCAUCUUUUAAACCUUUACCCGUUAAAUGGAUUAAUUGGUAUUCUGUCAAUAAAUAAUCUAAAUUUUGACGAAUCGCAUCAUUGAUUGCUUUAGAACCUAAAGAGCCCCCCAUAACCAUCAUAAUUGGUUUAUCAGGUGUUAGACCUGUAGAUUGAUAACC
Molecule: non-coding RNA, 178 nt
Organism: Globicatella sp. HMSC072A10
Lineage: Bacteria; Bacillati; Bacillota; Bacilli; Lactobacillales; Aerococcaceae
Source: Rfam